RNAcentral lists this small nucleolar RNA (200 nucleotides) under Glossina austeni. RNAcentral describes it as "small nucleolar RNA U3". It matches the Rfam family "Small nucleolar RNA U3". From Rfam's summary of the family: Small nucleolar RNAs (snoRNAs) are involved in the processing and modification of rRNA in the nucleolus. There are two main classes of snoRNAs: the box C/D class, and the box H/ACA class. Lineage: Eukaryota; Metazoa; Arthropoda; Insecta; Diptera; Glossinidae. The record is from RNAcentral.
GAGACUAUGCUUCACAUGAUCAUUUUUGUAGUCGGUCUUCAUUUAUUGCCAUAUCAAAAUGGCCGUAACUCUACCCGCGAUGAGGAGUUGUAUCGUUUUACCAAGGGCGUGAGGUUACAGACGUUGUCGUUGCGUUACCUAUUGUGGGCGUUGUGGACAGUGCUCCUUCGAUUCGAUUUGUUAACCGGUUUCGAAGCGCU